GAUGAACGCUGGCGGCGUGCUUAACACAUGCAAGUCGAACGGGAUCCAAGAAGUGCUUGCACUUUUUGGUGAGAGUGGCGAACGGGUGAGUAACACGUGAGUAACCUGUCCUUUUCUUUGGGAUAAGCAUCCGAAAGGGUGUUUAAUACCUUAUGUUCUGUCUGCCUCGCAUGGGGUGGGUGGGAAAGAUUUUUUCGGUAAAGGGUGGGCUCGCGGUCUAUCAGCUUGUUGGUGGGGUGAUGGCCUACCAAGGCUUUGACGGGUAGCCGGCCUGAGAGGGUGGUCGGUCACAUUGGGACUGAGAUACGGCCCAGACUCCUGCGGGAGGCAGCAGUGGGGGAUAUUGCACAAUGGGCGAAAGCCUGAUGCAGCGACGCCGCGUGGGGGAUGAAGGCCUUCGGGUUGUAAACUUCUUUUGCUCUGAACAAGGCGCACCGUGGGGUGUGUUGAGUGUAGGGGUUGAUUAGCGCCGGCUAACUACGUGCCAGCAGCCGCGGUAAUACGUAGGGCGCGAGCGUUGUCCGGAAUUAUUGGGGCGUAAAGGGCUUGUAGGUGGCUGGUUGCUUCUGUCGUGAAAGCUCAUGGCUUGACUUGUGGGUUUUGCGGGGGUACCGGCUGGCUUCAGUGGAGCGGGGGAAGGUGUAAUUCCCUGUUGUUUCGG
RNAcentral lists this ribosomal RNA (661 nucleotides) under uncultured Varibaculum sp. RNAcentral describes it as "bacterial SSU rRNA". It matches the Rfam family "Bacterial small subunit ribosomal RNA", at positions 28 to 681 of the family's 1533-position model. The record is from RNAcentral. Lineage: Bacteria; Bacillati; Actinomycetota; Actinomycetes; Actinomycetales; Actinomycetaceae.